This 253-nucleotide ribosomal RNA is filed under the name uncultured bacterium. RNAcentral describes it as "partial 16S ribosomal RNA". It matches the Rfam family "Bacterial small subunit ribosomal RNA", at positions 524 to 776 of the family's 1533-position model. The record is from RNAcentral.
UACGAAGGGGGCUAGCGUUGUCCGGAAUCACUGGGCGUAAAGGGCGCGUAGGCGGCUCAUGAAGGCUGUGGUGAAAGUCCGGGGCUCAACCUCGGAUCGGCCGUGGCGACUCGUGGGCUGGAGCACUGUAGAGGCGGGUGGAAUUCCGGGUGUAGCGGUGGAAUGCGUAGAGAUCCGGAAGAACACCAGUGGCGAAGGCGGCCCGCUGGGCAGUGGCUGACGCUGAGGCGCGACAGCGUGGGGAGCAAACAGG